This 1850-nucleotide unclassified non-coding RNA is filed under the name uncultured fungus. Its description in RNAcentral is "sequence contains 18S rRNA gene, ITS1, 5.8S rRNA gene, ITS2, 28S rRNA gene". The stretch from base 754 to 1850 matches the Rfam family "Eukaryotic large subunit ribosomal RNA", at positions 1 to 961 of the family's 3401-position model. The record is from RNAcentral. Lineage: Eukaryota; Fungi.
GGAAGGAUCAUUACUAGAUCGCUCACCAUUUCAUUAUGGUUUGAGCAAAGAUCCAACCACCCUUGUCAAUUGUUUGUUGUCUUUGGUAACCUUUGUGCUCAGCUGGCCAGCAUGGCCCGGCUUUGGACGUCCUUUAGCCUCGAUUGCAGGCUCUCUGGGGGUUACCGCUGGCCCCAGGGGGUCGUUACGAGAGAAGUCCUCUUGUGCGAUCUUCCGAGGUCAUCAAAACAAAAAAGCCCUUUCAUUAGAACAUUUAUCGUGACUGAAUUUAUAAACUAUUUCUUUAAACAAAAUGGUAUACAACUUUUGGCAACGGAUCUCUUGGCUCUCGCAACGAUGAAGAACGCAGCGAAAUGCGAUAAGUAGUGUGACUUGCAGAAUUCAGUGAAUCAUCGAAUCUUUGAACGCACAUUGCGCUCUCUGGCAUUCCGGAGAGCAUGCCUGUUUGAGUAUCGGUAAAUCCUCUCGAACCAAUUUUUUUUUUUGGUUUGGAUAUGAGUUAUCCCAUCUACACUUUUUUUUUUCCAACGAAAAGUUUUUUCUGGGUGACUUUAAAGGAAUUGUUUGGCUCGCAACACCGAAAAGAAAAGGGUCCGGGCGACCGAAAAGCGUGACAAGGACUCUUUCUAUUUUGGAAAAGUUUUCAAGACGCUGAACUCGUGUCGUUUUCUACGGUUCCCCGCGGUGUCGCGGCUUGCCUUCUCCCAACUUUUACCCAACACAAACCGUCGUCUUUUUCGGCGCUUGUGAACUUGAUCUCAAAUCAGGCAAGACUACCCGCUGAACUUAAGCAUAUCAAUAAGCGGAGGAAAAGAAACUAACAAGGAUUCCCCUAGUAACGGCGAGUGAAGCGGGAACAGCUCAAAUUUGAAAUCUGGGAGGUUUGCCUCUCCGAAUUGUAGUUUAGAGAAGUGUUUUCGGCGGCGGCCAGGGUAUAAGUCUCUUGGAACAGGGCAUCAUAGAGGGUGAGAAUCCCGUCUUUGGCCCAUGGUCUGCUGCUAUGUGAUACACUUUCAAAGAGUCGGGUUGUUUGGGAAUGCAGCCCAAAAUGGGUGGUAAAUUUCAUCUAAAGCUAAAUAAUGGCGAGAGACCGAUAGCGAACAAGUACCGUGAGGGAAAGAUGAAAAGAACUUUGAAAAGAGAGUUAAACAGUACGUGAAAUUGCCAAAAGGGAAACGCUUGAAACCAGUAUUGUUUGCGGGAAAUCAGUCAGGCUUGUCGACUUGUUCAUGGCUUUUGGACCGCAAGGCCAAGUUAUGGAUAAAGGAGGUUCAGCCUGGUGCACUUUUCCGUGAACAGGUCAACAUCAGUUUGACUUGCGGGAAAAAGGUCAAGGAAAGGUAACCCCCUCCGGGGGGUGUUAUAGUCCUGAUUUAUACCGUGGGUUAGACUGAGGAUCGCAGCGCAGGCUUCUUGGCGGAGAACCCAGCCGUUGCCUUGGCCUUUUUCGCAGACAGCGUGCUGACUGUCGAGAAAUGCGUCGGGGCACGCGGUUGGUUCACUACCUCUGUGCUUAGGAUGUUGACGAAAUGGUUUUAAACGACCCGUCUUGAAACACGGACCAAGGAGUCUAACAAAUAUGCGAGUGUUUGGGUGGUAAACCCAUACGCGUAAUGAAAGUGAACUUUGGUGGGAUCUUCGGUGCACCAUCGACCGGUCUGGAUAUUUUUUGAAAGAUCUGAGUAAGAGCAUAUCUGUUGGGACCCGAAAGAUGGUGAUCUAUGCCUGAAUAGGGUGAAGCCAGAGGAAACUCUGGUGGAGGCUCGUAGCGAUUCUGACGUGCAAAUCGAUCGUCAAAUUUGGGUAUAGGGGCGAAAGACUAAUCGAACCAUCUAGUAGCUGGUUCCCUC